RNAcentral lists this transfer RNA (70 nucleotides) under Terrapene carolina (common box turtle). RNAcentral's name for it is "tRNA-Phe". It matches the Rfam family "tRNA". From Rfam's summary of the family: Transfer RNA (tRNA) molecules are approximately 80 nucleotides in length. Their secondary structure includes four short double-helical elements and three loops (D, anti-codon, and T loops). The record is from RNAcentral. Lineage: Eukaryota; Metazoa; Chordata; Testudines; Emydidae.
GUUAUUGUAGCUUAUCAUAAAGCACGGCACUGAAGAUGCCAAGAUGGGUAACCAACAUACCCCAAAAACA